CGGACGGGUGAGUAACGCGUAGGAACCUGACGCGCAGUGGGGGAUAACGCUGGGAAACCGGCGCUAAUACCGCAUGUGGUCGCAAGAAGAAAGCAGCAAUGCGCUGUGUGAGGGGCCUGCGUCCGAUUAGCUAGUUGGUGGGGUAAAGGCGUACCAAGGCACCGAUCGGUAGCUGGUCUGAGAGGAUGAUCAGCCACACUGGGACUGAGACACGGCCCAG
Molecule: ribosomal RNA, 220 nt
Filed under: uncultured bacterium
Lineage: Bacteria
Description: partial 16S ribosomal RNA
Rfam family: Bacterial small subunit ribosomal RNA
Source: RNAcentral